GCAAAGACAACCAGGAUGUUGGCUUAGAAGCAGCCACUCAUUAAAAGAGUGCGUAAUAGCUCACUGGUCGAGUGACCCUGCGCCGAAAAUUCAACGGGGCUAAAUCAUAUACCGAAGCUUGGGAUUCCGAAAGGGAUGGUAGGAGAGCGUUGUGUAAGGGGUGAAGUCAUAGCGGAAGCGGUGGUGGACUUUACACAAGCGAGAAUGCCGGAAUGAGUAGCGCGAAAUGUGUGAGAAUCAUAUUGGCCGAAAGUCUAAGGAUUUUGGAGGAAGGUUCGUCCGCUCCAAGUAAGCCGGGAGCUAAGGCGAGGCCGAAAGGCGUAGUCGAUGCACAUACGGUGGAAAUUCCGUAGCCGCCGAAAGAUUUAAGU
The sequence is a ribosomal RNA, 371 nucleotides long. It matches the Rfam family "Bacterial large subunit ribosomal RNA", at positions 1083 to 1461 of the family's 2925-position model.